RNAcentral lists this ribosomal RNA (253 nucleotides) under uncultured bacterium. RNAcentral's name for it is "partial 16S ribosomal RNA". It matches the Rfam family "Bacterial small subunit ribosomal RNA", at positions 524 to 776 of the family's 1533-position model. The record is from RNAcentral.
UACAGAGGGGGCAAGCGUUGUUCGGAAUUACUGGGCGUAAAGGGCGCGUAGGCGGCCGCCUAAGUCAGACGUGAAAUCCCUCGGCUCAACCGGGGAACUGCGUCUGAUACUGGGUGGCUUGAAUCCGGGAGAGGGAUGCGGAAUUCCAGGUGUAGCGGUGAAAUGCGUAGAUAUCUGGAGGAACACCGGUGGCGAAGGCGGGUCUCUGGGCAGUAACUGACGCUGAGGAGCGAAAGCGUGGGGAGCGAACAGG